This 69-nucleotide transfer RNA is filed under the name Cordylochernes scorpioides. RNAcentral's name for it is "tRNA-OTHER". It matches the Rfam family "tRNA". From Rfam's summary of the family: Transfer RNA (tRNA) molecules are approximately 80 nucleotides in length. Their secondary structure includes four short double-helical elements and three loops (D, anti-codon, and T loops). Further hydrogen bonds mediate the characteristic L-shaped molecular structure. tRNAs have two regions of fundamental functional importance: the anti-codon, which is responsible for specific mRNA codon recognition, and the 3' end, to which the tRNAs corresponding amino acid is attached (by aminoacyl-tRNA synthetases). tRNAs cope with the degeneracy of the genetic code in two manners: having more than one tRNA (with a specific anti-codon) for a particular amino acid; and 'wobble' base-pairing, i.e. permitting non-standard base-pairing at the 3rd anti-codon position. The record is from RNAcentral. Lineage: Eukaryota; Metazoa; Arthropoda; Arachnida; Pseudoscorpiones; Chernetidae.
UCCAGGAUAGCCUAGUGGACAUGGCACCUGCCGGUAAGAAGGUUGUGGGUUCGAUUCCCGCUCCUGGAC